UGCUGCCCUGGACGGACAGGGUCACGGUCCUGGUCUGCCAGGCGGGGUCGGCGGGGAGCUUCAGCACGACCUGGUCGAUGCUGGUGGCGGCGCCCA
This 96-nucleotide transfer RNA is filed under the name Acrocarpospora phusangensis. RNAcentral describes it as "tRNA-Gly". Lineage: Bacteria; Bacillati; Actinomycetota; Actinomycetes; Streptosporangiales; Streptosporangiaceae. The record is from RNAcentral.